UAGGGAAUAUUGGUCAAUGGGCGAGAGCCUGAACCAGCCAUGCCGCGUGCAGGAAGAAGGCCCUCUGGGUUGUAAACUGCUUUUGAACGGGGCCAAAAAGGGUAUGCGUACCAAAUUGAGAGUACCGUUAGAAUAAGCACCGGCUAACUCCGUGCCAGCAGCCGCGGUAAUACGGAGGGUGCAAGCGUUGUCCGGAUUUAUUGGGUUUAAAGGGUGCGUAGGUGGCCUAAUAAGUCAGUGGUGAAAGCCUGUCGCUUAACGAUAGGACUGCCAUUGAUACUGUUAGGCUUGAGUACUGAUGAGGUAGGCGGAAUUGAUAGUGUAGCGGUGAAAUGCAUAGAUAUUAUCAAGAACACCGAUUGCGAAGGCAGCUUACUAAGGAGUUACUGACACUGAGGCACGAAAGCGUGGGGAUCAAACAGGAUUAGAUACCCGGGUAGUCC
RNAcentral lists this ribosomal RNA (443 nucleotides) under uncultured bacterium. RNAcentral describes it as "bacterial SSU rRNA". It matches the Rfam family "Bacterial small subunit ribosomal RNA", at positions 355 to 796 of the family's 1533-position model. The record is from RNAcentral.